UACGGGGGGGGCAAGCGUUGUUCGGAAUUACUGGGCGUAAAGGGCUCGUAGGCGGCCAACUAAGUCAGACGUGAAAUCCCUCGGCUCAACCGAGGAACUGCGUCUGAUACUGGAAGGCUUGAAUCCGGGAGAGGGAUGUGGAAUUCCAGGUGUAGCGGUGAAAUGCGUAGAUAUCUGGAGGAACACCGGUGGCGAAGGCGGCAUCCUGGACCGGUAUUGACGCUGAGGCGCGAAAGCUAGGGGAGCAAACGGG
This 253-nucleotide ribosomal RNA is filed under the name uncultured bacterium. RNAcentral describes it as "partial 16S ribosomal RNA". It matches the Rfam family "Bacterial small subunit ribosomal RNA", at positions 524 to 776 of the family's 1533-position model. The record is from RNAcentral.